Molecule: ribosomal RNA, 457 nt
Filed under: Streptococcus mutans
Lineage: Bacteria; Bacillati; Bacillota; Bacilli; Lactobacillales; Streptococcaceae
Description: bacterial SSU rRNA
Rfam family: Bacterial small subunit ribosomal RNA
Source: RNAcentral
GACGAACGCUGGCGGCGUGCCUAAUACAUGCAAGUGGGACGCAAGGGAACACACUGUGCUUGCACACCGUGUUUUCUUGAGUCGCGAACGGGUGAGUAACGCGUAGGUAACCUGCCUAUUAGCGGGGGAUAACUAUUGGAAACGAUAGCUAAUACCGCAUAAUAUUAAUUAUUGCAUGAUAAUUGAUUGAAAGAUGCAAGCGCAUCACUAGUAGAUGGACCUGCGUUGUAUUAGCUAGUUGGUAAGGUAAGAGCUUAUCAAGGCGACGAUACAUAGCCGACCUGAGAGGGUGAUCGGCCACACUGGGACUGAGACACGGCCCAGACUCCUACGGGAGGCAGCAGUAGGGAAUCUUCGGCAAUGGACGAAAGUCUGACCGAGCAACGCCGCGUGAGUGAAGAAGGUUUUCGGAUCGUAAAGCUCUGUUGUAAGUCAAGAACGUGUGUGAGACGUGGAA